AUACGUAGGGGGCGAGCGUUGUCCGGAAUGACUGGGCGUAAAGGGCGUGUAGGCGGCGGUGUAAGUCUGGAGUGAAAGUCCCGCAUUCAAUGUGGGAAUUGCUUUGGAUACUGCAGUGCUAGAGUGCGGAAGAGGUAAGUGGAAUUCCCAGUGUAGCGGUGACAUGCGUAGAGAUUGGGAGGAACACCAGUGGCGAAGGCGACUUACUGGGCCAUAACGGACGCUGAGUCGCGAUAGCGUGGGGAGCGAUCAGGAUUAGAUGCCCUGGCAGCCCACGCGGUGAACGAGGAAUGCAAGGUGUUGCGGGUAGCGACCCCUGCAGUGGCGGAGGAAACACAAAAAGCAUCCCGCCUUGGGAGUACGGCCGCAAUGUGGCGACUCAAAGGAAUUGACGGGG
Molecule: ribosomal RNA, 397 nt
Filed under: uncultured bacterium
Lineage: Bacteria
Description: partial 16S ribosomal RNA
Rfam family: Bacterial small subunit ribosomal RNA
Source: RNAcentral